CAAUAGCGUAUAUUAAAGUUGUUGCAGUUAAAAAGCUCGUAGUUGGAUUUCGGGGCAGCCUGGCUGGUCCGCCGCAAGGCGAGUACUGGUCAGCCGCCCUUCCUCUCGAAAGCCCCGACUGCUCUUUAUUGCAGUGGUCGGGUAGUUCGGGACGUUUACUUUGAAAAAAUUAGAGUGUUCAAGGCAGGCCUACGCCUGAAUACAUUAGCAUGGAAUAAUAGAAGAGGACCUCGGUCCUAUUUUGUUGGUUUCCAGGACCGAAGUAAUGAUUAAGAGGGACAGUUGGGGGCAUUCGUAUUUAAUUGUCAGAGGUGAAAUUCUCGGAUUUAUGAAAGACGAACAACUGCGAAAGCAUUUGCCAAGGAUGUUUUCAUUAA
Molecule: ribosomal RNA, 377 nt
Filed under: uncultured eukaryote
Lineage: Eukaryota
Description: partial 18S ribosomal RNA
Rfam family: Eukaryotic small subunit ribosomal RNA
Source: RNAcentral